This 463-nucleotide ribosomal RNA is filed under the name uncultured bacterium. Its description in RNAcentral is "partial 16S ribosomal RNA". It matches the Rfam family "Bacterial small subunit ribosomal RNA", at positions 339 to 795 of the family's 1533-position model. The record is from RNAcentral.
CUACGGGACGCUCCAGUCGAGAAUCAUUCGCAAUGGGCGCAAGCCUGACGAUGCGACGCCGUGUGAACGAAGAAGGCCUUCGGGUUGUAAAGUUCUUUCGCCUGGGAACAAGAGAAGCUUUUGAAUAAAAAGUUAUUUGAGGGUACCAAGUAAAGAAGCGCCGGCUAACUCCGUGCCAGCAGCUGCGGUAAUACGGAGGGCGAAAGCAUUAAUCGGAUUUAUUGGGCGUAAAGAGCGCGUAGGCGGUUUUGCAAGUCAGAUAUGAAAUUUCGGAGCUCAACUCCGAAGCUGUGUUUGAAACUGCAAUACUUGAGGAUAGACGGAGAAAAUGGAAUUUCACGUGUAGCGGUGAAAUGCGUAGAUAUGUGAAAGAAGACCGGUGGCGAAGGCGAUUUUCUAGUCUAUAACUGACGCUGAGGCGCGAAAGCAAGGGGAGCAAACAGGAUUAGAUACCCUCGUAGUC